UACAAACCGCACCCUUUUCAGAAUUGCCCAUGAAGGCCGGUAGAACGACGCCUUAAAUUUCAGUGAGAGGAACGGUCACCAGGGAGUCACCAUUUCCCCCCCUCUUCUCCCUGCAAAUUCAGAGUUAAAAAACCAUAGUAACAAUGGCGGAUCUCAUCCUUCAAUCGCCUGUGAACCCUAGAUCAACCUCCGAUCUUUUCGGUGACCCUCACGAUUCUCAACCCCUCUGGUUCAAAAAGGAGGUCUUCUCUCAACAGGACUUCGAUCCAGAUGCCUAUGUAGCUGAUCUCCGACGCUUUGUUCCCCUCGAAAGCCUCAGAGCAGAGCUCAGAGCUCAUCUCUCUACCCUAAAAUCUGAGCUUGUUGAGCUAAUUAACAGGGAUUAUGCAGAUUUUGUGAGCCUCAGCACUAAGCUUGUCGAUGUGGAUGGUGCGGUUCUGAGGAUGAGGGCUCCAUUGAAUGAGCUCAGGGCUCGAAUUUCUCAGUUUAGGGCGAGCGUUGAGGCUUCUUUCACUUCCCUGAGGGAUGGGUUGCAGAAGAGGGCUGAUGCUGCAGCUUCGAGGGAGGUUCUCGAACGCCUUCUUGAUACAUCUCAUGUUGUCUCCAAGGUUGAGAAACUAAUUUUGGAGUUGCCAAGUACUCCAGCAGACUGGUCGAAUCCUGACAUAGCUCCAACUAACAAGAGUUUAUUUAGCAAUGAUGCAUCUUUACAACCUGUUGAGCAUGGGGCAAACCUGAGAGAGACUCAAAGUAUGCUUUUGGAGAGAAUUGCUAGUGAGAUGAACCGGCUAAAGUUUUACAUGGCUCAUGCUGAGAAUCUUCCCUUCAUAGCAAACAUGGAGAAGCGGAUUCAAAGUGCUGCUUCAUUAUUGGAUAGUAGUUUGGGUCAUUGCUUUGUUGCUGGGCUGGAACACCGAGAUACAAGUGCAAUCUAUAACUGUUUACGUGCAUAUGCUGCUAUUGAGAAUACCGCCAGUGCAGAAGAGAUUUUUCGUUCAACUAUAGUGGCUCCGUUGAUUGAGAAAGUUAUCCCUCAUAACCCUUCACGGGAAGUUGCUGAGAGUUCCGCUGAUGAGCUUGGAGAUGAUUAUCAACAAAUUAAAAGGCUUAUUGAGAAGGACUGCAAAUUUCUAUUGGAAAUUGCUGCAUCCGCCAAUUCUGGACUGCACGUGUUUGAUUUUUUGGCCAAUUCGAUACUUAAAGAAGUGCAAUCGGCUAUCCAGAAAGGCAAACCAGAGGCAUUAUCUGCUGGGAAACCAACAGAAUUCUUGAGAAAUUACAAAGCAAGCUUGGAUUUCUUGGCCCAUCUUGAAGGCUACUGCCCGUCCAGAUCUGCUGUGUCUGAAUUUCGAUCUCGAGCUGUCUACAUUGAGUUCAUUAGGCAAUGGAACAUUGGUGUCUACUUCUCUCUGAGAUUUCAAGAAAUUGCCAGUGCUUUGGACUUGGCAUUGAUGGUCACCACUAUUACAGUAGUUGGCAAUUCACAUCUUAACAAAGGCAAUUCUCGGGAAUUGACCUUAAAUCAAAGUGUGCAGCUUUUGGAGUGCUUGAGAUCCUGUUGGAAAGAGGAUGUUUUUGUCCAUUCUCUCUCUGACAAGUUCCUUCGGUUAUCUCUGGAGCUUCUUUCAAGGUAUGCAACCUGGUUAUCAGUGGGGCUCGCUGCCCGUAAGGGUAAUGCAGCUACUCAGUCAGGUAGUGCAAGUACUCAUGCUGGUAAUACAAGUUCACAUCCUGGGGGCGAGUGGGCAUUGGCUGCAAGUCCAGAAGAUUUCAUUUAUGUGAUGCACGAUGUAGAUAUUCUGGUUACUGUGGUAAAUGGUGAUUAUAUGGAGAAUGUGCUUCAACUUCUGUCUAGUUGUUCAGCUGAUGUACUUUCUCAAGUAAGGCAAAGCAUUUCAUCGGCUGGGAAGAGAUUGGUGGACUUGGUACCUAGUAUAAUGGAUACGAUGAUUGAAGGACUUGUGGAGAAAUCUGUUGAGGACUUGAGGCAGAUUAAGGGGAUACCCACUACAUACAGGAUGACUAAUAAACCACCACCUGUUAGACAUUCACCUUAUGUUUCUGGCGUUCUGCGGCCCCUUAAGGCUUUUCUAGAGGGAGAGCGCGCUGCAUAUUUGGCAAGCGAAACCAAAAGCAAACUGAUACAUGGUGCAGCUGAAAGGAUUACAGGCCAUUAUUAUGAAAUAGCAUGGGAUGUUGUCAAUGUGCAACGGAGGACAGAGUCCUCGCUGCAACGGCUCAGGCAAGGAGCUCAGAGACGAGGUGGUGCGAGCUCAGAUGCAUCUGACCACAAUAUCUCUGAUACUGAUAAGAUUUGCAUGCAGUUAUUUCUUGAUAUCCAGAAGAGGAAACUGCAUCCUCCAAUAAGAAAAAGGAACGUCUUGUCUGUAAAUGCAUAGGGAUUUUCCAGCAUCCUAGUGAGCGAACCAUGCUCUCCUUCCCCUAGGAAAAGGCUACUCCUGCAUUCCAUAUAAGGGACUUUCUAUUUAAAGGAAUAUGGGAGGAACCUAUCCACUAUUGGAGUUCAAGCAGCCGAUAUUCCUGCAUACCAUUCGCUUUGGCAGUGUCUGGCUCCUACAGAUAUGCAGACGAACAUCAGAUUUUAGUGUAUUUAUUCUGUCAUACACCACUUUGACGUUGGGUAGAUCACUUUUUGAGGUUGCAAUGCAUUCGUUGAGGCUGUUCUUUCUCCUUUUACUGAUAAUUGUCAUGUCUUGAUGUUGAUUUAGCAUUGCUGGUCUCUCUCUCUCAACACACACACACAGCAGAUGACAGAUUCUAGAGAAAGCCUUCUGAGAUAGCCACAUGAGGUAGCAAUGCUAUAUCUGUUCAUUCUCCUAUUGUGGGCUGAUAAGGGAUAUCAGUAAUGCAUUAGUGUUAAAUACCUUUACUUGCCAUCUCUGUUUCUCUUUCGAACAUUGCAUCUCUCUCUCAAAUUUUUAUCCACAGGGCCUAUUUGCUUGUUGAUUUAUGAAUUUACUGUUUAUAGGGACUAUGAAAUACGGGCAGGCCGAUUAAUUUGGAUUUCUUGAGAGACAUGGGAUAGAAUAGGAAUGAUACGGAGAAUAUUUAUUUGGAUUUCUUGUAAAGAUUCAGUUUGAAUUUGACUCCAUGAAAAAUUCCAUCCCCUAUUGCCUGUAACUAGGGACUCGGGUCUUUUUCCGUU
Molecule: RNA transcript, 3166 nt
Organism: Amborella trichopoda
Lineage: Eukaryota; Viridiplantae; Streptophyta; Magnoliopsida; Amborellales; Amborellaceae
Gene name: oligomeric golgi complex subunit-like protein
Source: RefSeq, a predicted model, not a curated record